GAUGAACGCUGGCGGCGUGCUUAACACAUGCAAGUCGAACGGGAAUUACUUUAUUGAAACUUCGGUCGAUUUAAUUUAAUUCUAGUGGCGGACGGGUGAGUAACGCGUGGGUAACCUGCCUUGUACAGGGGGAUAACAGUCAGAAAUGGCUGCUAAUACCGCAUAAGCGCACAGGACCGCAUGGUCCGGUGUGAAAAACUCCGGUGGUAUAAGAUGGACCCGCGUUGGAUUAGCUUGUUGGCAGGGUAACGGCCUACCAAGGCGACGAUCCAUAGCCGGCCUGAGAGGGUGAACGGCCACAUUGGGACUGAGACACGGCCCAGACUCCUACGGGAGGCAGCAGUGGGGAAUAUUGCACAAUGGGGGAAACCCUGAUGCAGCGACGCCGCGUGAAGGAAGAAGUAUCUCGGUAUGUAAACUUCUAUCAGCAGGGAAGAGAUUGACGGUACCUGACUAAGAAGCCCCGGCUAACUACGUG
Molecule: ribosomal RNA, 478 nt
Filed under: uncultured organism
Description: bacterial SSU rRNA
Rfam family: Bacterial small subunit ribosomal RNA
Source: RNAcentral